RNAcentral lists this ribosomal RNA (152 nucleotides) under uncultured eukaryote. Its description in RNAcentral is "partial small subunit ribosomal RNA". It matches the Rfam family "Eukaryotic small subunit ribosomal RNA", at positions 1651 to 1806 of the family's 1831-position model. The record is from RNAcentral.
CCCUGCCAUUUGUACACACCGCCCGUCGCUACUACCGAUUGAAUGAAUUAGUGAGCUCCAGAGAUCGAGCUGCUCCGGGCAACCGAAGUAGUUUGAGAACUGGAUCAAACUUGCUCAUUUAGAGGAAGUAAAAGUCGUAACAAGGUUUCCGU